AAAAUGCGAAACGUAGUGCGAUUUGCAUGAACCUGUGAGUCACCGAGUCUUUGAACGCAACUUGCGCUCUCCGGAGCAUGUUCCCUUGAGCCGGGCAAACAUCUUAAUCUGAUAUUUCAGAUUGUGCUGGGACACGAGCGCGUCUCUGUCCUGAAAAGUGUGCCCGUCAGCGACUGAGCCAGAGGAUGGUGGUUGUCGGUUGUAGACCUCGGUCUCUAACUCUCGAUCUAACUUUCUUUCAGUCAAAUGACACUCAUUCACCCGCUCAAGUGGAGCAGGACCACCCGCUGGACUUAA
Molecule: unclassified non-coding RNA, 297 nt
Filed under: uncultured fungus
Lineage: Eukaryota; Fungi
Description: sequence contains ITS1
Rfam family: 5.8S ribosomal RNA (bases 1-95)
Source: RNAcentral